UACGUAGGAUCCAAGCGUUAUCCGGAAUUACUGGGUGUAAAGAGUUGCGUAGGUGGCAUAGUAAGUAGACAGUGAAAGCGUUCGGCUCAACCGGAUAUCCAUUGUCUAAACUGCUAAGCUAGAGAACGAGAGAGGUAGAUGGAAUUCCCAGUGUAGGAGUGAAAUCCGUAGAUAUUGGGAGGAACACCGAUGGCGUAGGCAGUCUACUGGCUCGUUUCUGACACUAAGGCACGAAAGCGUGGGGAGCAAACAGG
This 254-nucleotide ribosomal RNA is filed under the name uncultured bacterium. RNAcentral describes it as "partial 16S ribosomal RNA". It matches the Rfam family "Bacterial small subunit ribosomal RNA", at positions 524 to 776 of the family's 1533-position model. The record is from RNAcentral.